GACAUUCGGCCAUGACAGCAUUUACAAGUGCGCGAUCCCACAAUGCAACGCAUAUAUGUAAACAAUAACAAUAUUGGAAUAGAACCACGAUUGAGUAGACUAAGUGUGUAAACGUUCGUUUUAUAUUUACUACACAACUUGAUUAAUAAAUAACUGUUGGUCAGCUUUUUCCAAAUGUCAGUAUCAUUACAGUUUCCCGUACAUUAUGCCCGCCAGUUUUAUCGCUAUGUCGACGGCAUUCAAUAUUUCAUAAACACUACGUUUGAACUCAUGCUAUAUCAGCACACUAGCUAUGCAUACACAUUCCAUUUGCGUCGGCCUUUAAUGCUUAAUUUCUUUGAUAAGCAGCCGAUAAGCAUGUUUCUACCGCCCAGGCUCGGAAGUCAGUGAUCGUGAUACAUGAGAUAUAUACAAAUUUGUUAUGGUUUUAUGCAGGACCACUGCGUCUGGUGGACACUUUGCUUCAACGUAGAUAUAUAUAGUUCCAGUUUAGUCCUUACAAUGUAUUAUUUCCGCAGUUCUUCAACACUAGUCCAAGGGCACUGAGGGAACGCUUAGAGCAUACAGACACACCGGGUUUACAUAUACUAGGCUAGUAUACAGGUUUAUCAUAUACUACUGCAGAGUAGGGUGUGAAGAGCAGCAUGGAGAUUCGAAGACACGUAUACUCAGCACGUAUAUAUGUCUGAACUUCUUAAGGAUAUGCAACUGAAUGUAUUGUAUUGGUGGAAACUCUGCCUUUGUUAAGUAUAUUAGUAAUAUUUUUUUUUUUUUUUUUUAUUUUAUUGAUAAGCACAACAUACAUCUGUAAUAACAGCAGACACAUACAUGUAUUUAUAUGAGUAAUACUAUGUAUUAAUGUCUCAUAUUUUAGCACAUAGUAUCACACAGUAUCUUUAUCUCUUUUCUAGAUUGUUCCACACCGACAGAGAUCUCUUCAGGUUAACAUUUCGUACAUAUAGUAUGAAUUUAUAUUUUAUGUACAUGUAUAUAUUCCACAUACAUGUAGUACAGAAGCACCAGUAUUUAUCAUGUUCAUAUUGCUAUUAUAGAUUGCUACAUGUACAUGUAUCUCUAUUCUAGAUUAUUCUACACCUUCCAGGACAUUUCUCAGUCAUAUGUAUUUAUUUUAUAUGUAUGAUAUUUCAUCACAUAGCACAGUUUUUAUCAUAUUUAUAUUUAUUCCUGAGUGUUCCACAACCGUCCAAGAUCUCUUCAGGUGUAUAUUUCGUACGGUAUAUUAGAAUUAUAUGAAUUUAAAUGUAUAUAUAUUUCAGCACAAAGUACAUGAAGCACACAGUUUUUAUCAUGUUCAUAUCGCUAUUCUAUUUGCUAUCUCUAUACUAGAUUAUUUUACACAUUCCAGGAUUUUCCAGAUGGACAUUUCUCAGUAUUGUUAUGCAUACAUGUAUAUAUUUAUUUUAUAUCUAUUAUAUUUCAGCACAUAGUACAUGUAGCACACAGUUAUUUAUUGUGUUUAUAUCUUUAGUCUAGAUUGCUUCACACAUGCAGGGCUCUCCAGGUGUAUCGCCACAGGUCAUUUUCUUAUGUAUAUUGCACUACACCUGCUGGAUCGCCACAGGUUAUUUAUUUAUGUGUAUUGUACUAAGCCUGCUGGAUCGCCACAGGUUAUAUUAUUUUAUUUAUAUAUAUUGUACUACGCCUGCUGGAUCGCCACAGGUAAUUUUAUUUAUGUGUAUUGUACUACGCCUGUUGGAUCGCCACAGGUCGUAUUACCCUGCUGGAUCGCCACAGGCCAUUCAUUCUCUUUAUGUAUACUGUACUACACCUGCUGGAUCGCCACAGGUCAUUCUGUCUAUUUAUGUGUAUUGUACUACGCCUGCUGGAUCGCCACAGGUCAUUUUCUUAUUAUGUAUAUUGCACUACGCCUGCUGGAUCGCCACAGGUUAUUUUAUUUAUGUGUAUUGUACUACGCCUGCUGGAUCGCCACAGGUUAUUUUAUUUAUAUAUAUUGUACUACGCCUGCUGGAUCGCCACAGGAAAUUUUAUUUAUGUAUACAUGUAUUGUACUACAGCUGCUGGAUCGCCACAGGUUAUUUUACUUAGGUGUAUUGUACUACGCCUGCUGGAUCGCCACAGGUCAUACUACCCCUGCUGGAUCGCCACAGGUCAUUCAUUAUUUCAGUAUAGUAAUGCAUACAUGUAGGUAUUUAUUUUAUAUGUAUUAUAUUUCAGCACAUAGUACAUGUAGCACACAGUAUUUAUCAUGUUUAUAUCUUUAGUCUAGAUUGCUCCACACAUGCAGGGAUCUCUCCAGGUGUACAUUUCAUACAGUACAGUUAUAUAUAUUAUAUUUCAGGUCGAACCUGCUGGAUCGCUACAGGUCUUUCAUUCUUUUUAUGUAUAUUGUAUUACACCUGCUGGAUCGCCACAGGUCGUAUGGUACUUGCUGCAUCGCCACAGAUCAUUCAUUAUCUUAAUGUAUACUGUACUACGCAUGCUGGAUCGCUACAGGUUAAUUAAUUAUGUGUAUUGUACUAUGCCUGCUGGAUCGCCACAGGUCAUAUUAUCUUUUAUUAUGUAUUAAUGUGUUAUAUUUAACUCAGCUAGUAUUUCCACUUAGACUCUCUUGUUUAAGGAUUACUAAGACUUCCCAGGUUGUUUCUUUUCUUUUAUUUUACAGGAAAAUACAGAUACAGAUAUUAAAACCUUCGUUUUAUCGGAUGAAGACUUCAGAACUUUAUAGCACCGUUAUAUAUAGAAAACAUACCCUGAUGCCUGCCUUCAUAUAUAGUAAAAUGUGUUAGACAACAGUUCAACUUUGUUUAUUAACCUAUCGUUUUCGGAUGCAGAAUUCAGAACUAUUAAGCACUGGAAUAUGAGGACAGCAUAUCUUGAAGCAACUUCAGAACUAUAUAGCAACUAAAUAUAUAAGGAGGACGAUACUUGAUUCAUGCAUUCAUAGUUAAUGUGUCAGAACUACAGUCACACUUCUUUAAGCAUUAAACGCAAGAAUUUUAACUAUGUAAGACAGAGUUAUUUUAUCCGUCUGGGUUAGAGAGAAGUGAUUACUGUUAUCACUCUUUCAGAACUGGUAGAGGGUUCUUUUUAAAGCACAACAGAAAUGUGUUGUUUUUAAAAUCUUCAGCGGCAGCAGCGGGAAUUGAAGAUCAUAUCAUACAAACACUUGGUAGAUGGUCAUCGGACUGUUAUAUCAGACAUAUAAGAACUGAUAAGAGAGUUAUUUCUAAAGCACAACAGAUAAUGUGUCAUUUUUGAAAUUAAUGUUUUGGUAAUGUUGUUUAUUUUUACAUAUGUGUUUUUAAGCAUUAUUAUUUCUUGGGGGCUUUCAUUCUUUCAUUAAUGAACUCAUUUCAUUUGGCCUUUUUAAUUCCAGGGGAAUCAUACUCCCCCAAUUCAAUAAUACAUCAGAUAGGUUCCUGUCGAGGAACAAAUAGGUAGUUUAAAGUAGUAUUUUUACUACGCUGGGAUCGCCCAGAAGCAAUUAGGUUCAUUCCUGGGGGUCGCCCCAGGAAUUAGGUUCAUUCCUGUCGAGGAACAAAUAGGUUCAUUCCUGGGGAUCGCCCCAGGAACAAUAGGCUCAUUCCUGGGGGUCGCCCCAGGAAAUAGGUUCAUUCCUGUCGAGGAACAAUAGGCUCAUUCCUGGGGGUCGCCCCAGGAAAUAGGCUCAUUCCUGUCGAGGAACAAUAGGUCAUUCCUGUCGAGGAACAAUAGGUCAUUCCUGUCGAGGAACAAUAGGUCAUUCCUGUCGAGGAACAAUAGGUCAUUCCUGUCGAGGAACAUAAGUCAUUCCUGGGGGUCGCCCCAGGAAAUAGGCUCAUUCCUGUCGAGGAACAAUAGGUCAUUCCUGUCGAGGAACAAUAGGUCAUUCCUGUCGAGGAACAAUAGGUCAUUCCUGUCGAGGAACAUAAGUCAUUCCUGGGGGUCGCCCCAGGAAAUAGGUUCAUUCCUGCCGAGGAACAAUAGGCUCAUUCCUGGGGAUCGCCUCAGGAACAAUUUUUUAAAUUUAUUUUUCUCAUAUUUUGAUUAGUUUGAAAUAUUCAUUUUUUCUCAUAUUUUGAUAAGAUUUUUAAAAUUAAGCCAAAUUUUUUAAGUGAAUGAGUAGCCCCAAGAAAGCCAAUAAUGUAUUAUAGUGUUUAUAGUCUUGCCAUGUAGAAAGAUAUGUACUGUUAUGUUACAGUUUAUUUUAAUAUUAUGUGUAGAUUUAGUAUGUUUUGAUAUUUUAAUAAUAAACAUUAUUCUUAAAUUGUGUUGUGUAUAAAAGGAAAAUUGAUUUAUUAAAUUAUAGUUUAUACACAAUACAAUGCAUCUGUUCAUCAAAGAUUAGCAGGCCGUAUCUUAGUCUAUUCUUAGGCAAUUGCAUAACAUUUAUUUUUAGAUUAUUAGGAAUAGUGCCCUAGAGGGGGGUUAGAGUAUUGUUGAUGAAAUUGAGAGAACGCAUCGAUGUAUCGGAUGCAAGAACAAUUAGCUAUCCCACCCGCCUUCCCCUACAACACCUGUGCAUUAACUGGGUAUUUAGUCUACAGGUCAUGAUUGGAUAAAAUAUGCUAUAAGUACUGAAAGAGUUAUUUAGUUACAGUCAGGUCUAUAAUUAAAUUCUGACUAAACAUUUAAGAAUAUUCAUAUAGCGGAGUAGUUGGUUUUUGUUCUCAUAUAGCUGAUGAGUGUUUUCCAUGCAUUCACUCAAGCGAAGUCGAAAAUAUAUCUAUAAUUGAUGUUAUAAAGAAUGAUUUGAAAUUGCUAUAUUACAUUGUGAAAGAUCUAUUAUAUUUCUAGUUUGUUAUUUUCAAAUGUACAUAUUUGUUACUUCAUGUUUAAGGGGCUACUCAUAUAGAAAUGAUAUGUGUAUUUUUGCCUUUUUAAUUCCAGGGGAAUCAUACUCCCCCAAUUCAAUAAUACAUCAGAUAGGUUCCUGUCGAGGAACAAAUAGGUAGUUUAAAGUAGUAUUUUUACUACGCUGGGAUCGCCCAGAAGCAAUUAGGUUCAUUCCUGGGGGUCGCCCCAGGAAUUAGGUUCAUUCCUGUCGAGGAACAAAUAGGUUCAUUCCUGGGGAUCGCCCCAGGAACAAUAGGCUCAUUCCUGGGGGUCGCCCCAGGAAAUAGGUUCAUUCCUGUCGAGGAACAAUAGGCUCAUUCCUGGGGGUCGCCCCAGGAAAUAGGCUCAUUCCUGUCGAGGAACAAUAGGUCAUUCCUGUCGAGGAACAAUAGGUCAUUCCUGUCGAGGAACAAUAGGUCAUUCCUGUCGAGGAACAAUAGGUCAUUCCUGUCGAGGAACAAUAGGUCAUUCCUGUCGAGGAACAAUAGGUCAUUCCUGUCGAGGAACAUAAGUCAUUCCUGGGGGUCGCCCCAGGAAAUAGGUUCAUUCCUGCCGAGGAACAAUAGGCUCAUUCCUGGGGAUCGCCUCAGGAACAAUUUUUUAAAUUUAUUUUUCUCAUAUUUUGAUUAGUUUGAAAUAUUCAUUUUUUCUCAUAUUUUGAUAAGAUUUUUAAAAUUAAGCCAAAUUUUUUAAGUGAAUGAGUAGCCCCAAGAAAGCCAAUAAUGUAUUAUAGUGUUUAUAGUCUUGCCAUGUAGAAAGAUAUGUACUGUUAUGUUACAGUUUAUUUUAAUAUUAUGUGUAGAUUUAGUAUGUUUUGAUAUUUUAAUAAUAAACAUUAUUCUUAAA
Molecule: long non-coding RNA, 5643 nt
Organism: Mytilus trossulus (common blue mussel)
Lineage: Eukaryota; Metazoa; Mollusca; Bivalvia; Mytilida; Mytilidae
Exons: 2
Source: RefSeq, a predicted model, not a curated record